UUUUACAUCUCUCGAUCCAAAGGACUAUUUUUCCACACUAAUCUAAUCUUAUCACAUUUUUAUUUCUUUUAAUACUCAAAAUCCCCCCAAAAAAAAUCUAAACUUUUGAAUGGGUUAAAUAUAAAAUUUACUCCUAGUCACAUUUCUCUUAGAGGCUGUUUGGUUGUACGCAUUUGCAACUGCAGUGCAGCUGCAAAUGCGUGCAGCCACAAUUUCUUUGUUUGGUUUAGUGUAGUUGAGUUCAACUGCUGCAGUUCCAACUGCACAAGAAGGCCCAAAUGCUGCAGUUGGAACUACAUCAAAAUUGAUCGUAGUUCCAAUUGCAGCAGUUGGUGAGGGAUAGGAUCACCCACAAAUUAAGAAUAAU
This 367-nucleotide long non-coding RNA is filed under the name Ananas comosus (pineapple). RNAcentral describes it as "long non-coding RNA (ACOM_LNC028407)". Lineage: Eukaryota; Viridiplantae; Streptophyta; Magnoliopsida; Poales; Bromeliaceae. The record is from RNAcentral.